CCUACGGGAGGCUGCAGUGGGGAAUAUUGGACAAUGGGGGGAACCCUGAUCCAGCCAUGCCGCGUGUGUGAAGAAGGCCCUCGGGUUGUAAAGCACUUUCAGUGAGGAAGAACGCCUGGUGGUUAAUACCCAUCAGGAAAGACAUCACUCACAGAAGAAGCACCGGCUAACUCCGUGCCAGCAGCCGCGGUAAUACGGAGGGUGCGAGCGUUAAUCGGAAUUACUGGGCGUAAAGCGCGCGUAGGUGGCUUGAUAAGCCGGUUGUGAAAGCCCCGGGCUCAACCUGGGAACGGCAUCCGGAACUGUCAAGCUAGAGUGCAGGAGAGGAAGGUAGAAUUCCCGGUGUAGCGGUGAAAUGCGUAGAGAUCGGGAGGAAUACCAGUGGCGAAGGCGGCCUUCUAGACUGACACUGACACUGAGGUGCGAAAGCGUGGGUAGCAAACAGGAUUAGAUACCCCGGUAGUC
This 465-nucleotide ribosomal RNA is filed under the name Vreelandella stevensii. Its description in RNAcentral is "partial 16S ribosomal RNA". It matches the Rfam family "Bacterial small subunit ribosomal RNA", at positions 338 to 795 of the family's 1533-position model. Lineage: Bacteria; Pseudomonadati; Pseudomonadota; Gammaproteobacteria; Oceanospirillales; Halomonadaceae. The record is from RNAcentral.